Molecule: RNA transcript, 1258 nt
Organism: Frankliniella occidentalis (western flower thrips)
Lineage: Eukaryota; Metazoa; Arthropoda; Insecta; Thysanoptera; Thripidae
Exons: 6
Source: RefSeq, a predicted model, not a curated record
AGCAUUUUAAUAGGUAACCUGAGAGCAAGAAGAGAAAGAAAGAGAGAAGAGAGAAGAGGACGACAAGGCCAAGAAGGAGCAAGAAGAGAAAGAAAGACAGGAGAAAGAAAGAGAGGAGAGAGAAAACCAAGACAAGGCCAAGAAAGAGAAAGAAGAGAAAGAAAGACAGGAGAGAGAAACAGAGAAGAGAGAAAGCGAGGAGAGAGAGAGGCAAGACAAGGCCAAGAGAGAGCAAGAAGAGAAAGAAAGACAGGAGAAAGAAACAGAGAAGAGAAAAAGAGAGGAGCUUGAAGUAAUGGAGAGUGAGAUGCAAAACGAAACACAGAUGUUGCGUGCACGAAGAGCAUCCCUGCCCUUAAAAAAAAGAAAACUUUUCGAUGUACCUAAGGCCCCACAACACGUGAUGUCACCAAUCUCAGGAGCCUCUCCAGAACCGCUAGAAAAGAAGGCGAAAGAUUUGAAAAAAUUACCAUACCCAACUGUAAGGUCACGGCACGGAGCGAAGAGAAAUAGUGGGAAGGAAAGCACCGAUUCCCAGAAGGCUGACCGCGAAGACUCUCCAGAUCCGCUAAAAAAGAAGGCGAAAGAAGUGAAAAAAGCAUCAUGCUCAUCUGUAAGGCCACGGCGGAAAGCAAGAAAAAAUAGUGAAAAGGAAAACACUGAUUCCUAGGAGGCUGACCGCGAAGACUCUUCAGGUACGCUAAAGAGGAAAGCGAAUCAGCGUUGCUCAACUCAAAGCUCACAAAGAAAAAAGAACAAAAUUAAUGAAGAGGAAACUGAAAAGCCUCAAAACGGCCUAGCAGCACCCAAGGAGUUGAAAAGGCAACUGGAAAAGAUUGCAGCGGCCGAGAGUUACGACGAUCUCCUUAAUUUAUGUCAGAUGGCGCUGAAGAUAACCCCUGACCAUUGUAGCAGUAGCUCUUAUUCAGAGUCGGACUUCUUCACCAAUUGUCCCCGUUGUUUUGUGCCCAUUAUACUGAAAAGGCCGAAGGGAAUGGGGAAACCUCGCUUUCCGACAUGUCCGUGCUUCAACGAGGUGACCAAGACGGAGAGGCGGAGUUGCCCCGUUGUCCACCACCUGCUGAAUGGUUUUACACCCAUUCAUUUCGAAAGCCUUCGGACAAUACUACGACUGUCGCCAGAAGCUGAGAGAAAGGACAUAAUGGACCUACUCUCAAAAAGGGACGUGAUGAUUAUGAAGAGUGGUGUCUAUGAUGGGAGAACCGUGUCAUUUAAUGAAGAAAACCUCAUGGUAAGU